Bos taurus (domestic cattle) is the source of this 415-nucleotide long non-coding RNA. NCBI's taxonomy places the organism in Eukaryota, Metazoa, Chordata, Mammalia, Artiodactyla, Bovidae. The record is from Ensembl.
GGGGGAGGGUGUAUAUGACAAACUCAGAGAUGAAGGUUAACAGGGAGCAGCUGCUUACCAAUUACGGCGUGAAAAACUCCCAAAGAGAUGUCAGGUGGCAAAGCUAGUUCUGCUGCUGCUUCAUUCGUGCUCAUGCUCAUUCGAAACCAACUCUUUGUGACUCCAUGGACUGUAGCCCACCAGGCUCCUCUGUCCAUGGGAUUUUCCAGGCAAGAAUACUGGAAUGGGUUGCCAUUUCCUCAUCCAGGGAAAUCUUCCAGACCCAGAGAUCGAACCUGCGUCUCCUGCAUUUGGGCUUCCCUGGUGGCUCAGAUGGUAAAGAAUCUGCCUGCAAAGUGGGAGACCCAGGUUUUAUCCCUGGGUCAGGAAGAUUCCCCAGGAGAAGGGAAUGGCUAUUCACUCCAGUAUUCUUGCU